AAGCUUGGUGCUUGCACCGAGCGGAUGAGUUGCGAACGGGUGAGUAACGCGUAGGUAACCUGCCUCUUAGCGGGGGAUAACUAUUGGAAACGAUAGCUAAUACCGCAUAAAAGUCGAUAUCGCAUGAUAUUGAUUUGAAAGGUGCAAUUGCAUCACUAAGAGAUGGACCUGCGUUGUAUUAGCUAGUUGGUGAGGUAACGGCUCACCAAGGCGACGAUACAUAGCCGACCUGAGAGGGUGAUCGGCCACACUGGGGCUGAGACACGGCCCAGACUCCUACGGGAGGCAGCAGUAGGGAAUCUUCGGCAAUGGACGGAAGUCUGACCGAGCAACGCCGCGUGAGUGAAGAAGGUUUUCGGAUCGUAAAGCUCUGUUGUAAGAGAAGAACGAGUGUGAGAGUGGAAAGUUCACACUGUGACGGUAACUUACCAGAAAGGGACGGCUAACUACGUGCCAGCAGCCGCGGUAAUACGUAGGUCCCGAGCGUUAUCCGGAUUUAUUGGGCGUAAAGCGAGCGCAGGCGGUUAGAUAAGUCUGAAGUUAAAGGCUGUGGCUUAACCAUAGUACGCUUU
Molecule: ribosomal RNA, 572 nt
Filed under: uncultured Bacilli bacterium
Lineage: Bacteria; Bacillati; Bacillota; Bacilli
Description: bacterial SSU rRNA
Rfam family: Bacterial small subunit ribosomal RNA
Source: RNAcentral